Non-coding RNA from Callorhinus ursinus (northern fur seal), 502 nucleotides. NCBI's taxonomy places the organism in Eukaryota, Metazoa, Chordata, Mammalia, Carnivora, Otariidae. The record is from RefSeq and is a predicted model, not a curated record.
AGAGCUCAUGGAUGGAUUAAACUAUGAGGGAUUUAGCAUUUAUUGAACUCAGGGAGCAGAAAGCAGGAGAAGGGAAUGAUCCUGCUGGUGCAUGGCUGAAGGAGGCUGGAGUUGGAGGACCGCAGGGAACAAGAUCAUGGGACUCGACAGCUGAGCCCUGCAAGCUAUUUGGCCUAUGAAGGUCCUGACCUGAGAAAACCAUCUUGGACAACUACGCAAGGAGAGGGAAAAAUGCAACACCUAGGAGAUUUCAGUAAACAGUAGAAUCAUGCCAACCUAAUCUGUGUUAAAAUGCUUGGAAUGUGGGAGCCGCCAAUGAUGCCUGUUGUCUGUAUGUCUGACUGAAUCCUUUCUUUUCUCAGAACAGCAAAGCCAAGCCUGGGAACCAGGCCAAAUGCCUGCCACUUACCUUAAAUUGAUCAGCCACUUGGAGAUUCAAACCCCUGAAAGCUGCCACACCGUGAAAACAAGGCCUCCUUCACAUUAAAGGCAAACUGCGACU